RNAcentral lists this long non-coding RNA (971 nucleotides) under Sus scrofa (pig). Its description in RNAcentral is "lncRNA (ENSSSCG00070013230.1)". The record is from RNAcentral. Lineage: Eukaryota; Metazoa; Chordata; Mammalia; Artiodactyla; Suidae.
AAAUAUUUCCAUUGGAACAAGGGAAAUAAUUAACUCAACAUAUCUUUUAUUGAAGAUUUUUUUUGUUGUUAAAAGGAGUACUUUUUUUAACUUUUUAAAAGUUUUAAAAACUUUUAUAAAAGGCUAUAAUACUUAACAUAUAGAGCAUUUUUAAAAAGCAAGUUCACAUUUUUUCACCUAAUCCAUAAAAUGAUCUUUUGAGGAAAAUAUUGUUCCCACCACUCUAUAAGCAAUAAAACUAAAAUUCUGUAUUACAUAUUACAUAAAUUUUCCAAAGUCAACCAGCUAAUAAGCAGAAGGUUAGGCCAGUACUUCAUUCCAGGUAUUUUGAUCAUAAAAUUUAUACUUUUUCUAAUGUAUACAUUACUUUGUUAAAUUAAGACAUUGGCUCCUGAAAAAGGAAAAGCAUAUUGUUCUCUACAUAUUUUCCUCCAAUUUUUUGUCCGACAAUGUCUUUUGCUUUCCAUCUUUGAAAGAUAAACAUUUCACAAAAAAGCAUAAUGCAGUUUAUAAUUUUUAAAGAGUGUUAAUCUAUUUGAGCCAGAACACAAACCCAGCUUUUUAGAUUGAUGUUCUUUGUUUAUUGAUCUUCAUGAAUUCAAGUAAUCUUUGACCUUACUGCACUGCAUAAUGUCCUCUGCAUUACCUUUUUUUUAUAUUCUUCUGCUAGCAAAAUACCAAAGAACCCGAGGUAAUUAAAAUAAACAGCAAUAGAGAAACAAACAAAAGCAGCAGCUGAGACUAUGGUGCCCACAGGGGUUGGAAGGAUUUUUAUGCCAAGGCUAAACCGGGUCCAGUGCCAGCACUCAGACCUCAAAGACAGCUGCCUCCUGGAGUCACUGCUCUGUUAACAGGCUCUACAGGAAUCAAGUCUGUUACACUAUGAAGCCCAGGAAAACUAUCUUAAUUUGCUGCACCCAUGGGAGCUGACAGAUUGUAGUGCAAUAAAGUCAAUUUAACAUAUAGCUUCA